GAGUUUGAUCAUGGCUCAGAUUGAACGCUGGCGGCAGGCCUAACACAUGCAAGUCGAACGGUAACAGGAAACAGCUUGCUGUUUCGCUGACGAGUGGCGGACGGGUGAGUAAUGUCUGGGAAACUGCCUGAUGGAGGGGGAUAACUACUGGAAACGGUAGCUAAUACCGCAUAACGUCGCAAGACCAAAGAGGGGGACCUUCGGGCCUCUUGCCAUCAGAUGUACCCAGAUGGGAUUAGCUAGUAGGUGGGGUAACGGCUCACCUAGGCGACGAUCCCUAGCUGGUCUGAGAGGAUGACCAGCCACACUGGAACUGAGACACGGUCCAGACUCCUACGGGAGGCAGCAGUGGGGAAUAUUGCACAAUGGGCGCAAGCCUGAUGCAGCCAUGCCGCGUGUAUGAAGAAGGCCUUCGGGUUGUAAAGUACUUUCAGCGGGGAGGAAGGGAGUAAAGUUAAUACCUUUGCUCAUUGACGUUACCCGCAGAAGAAGCACCGGCUAACUCCGUGCCAGCAGCCGCGGUAAUACGGAGGGUGCAAGCGUUAAUCGGAAUUACUGGGCGUAAAGCGCACGCAGGCGGUUUGUUAAGUCAGAUGUGAAAUCCCCGGGCUCAACCUGGGAACUGCAUCUGAUACUGGCAAGCUUGAGUCUCGUAGAGGGGGGUAGAAUUCCAGGUGUAGCGGUGAAAUGCGUAGAGAUCUGGAGGAAUACCGGUGGCGAAGGCGGCCCCCUGGACGAAGACUGACGCUCAGGUGCGAAAGCGUGGGGAGCAAACAGGAUUAGAUACCCUGGUAGUCCACGCCGUAAACGAUGUCGACUUGGAGGUUGUGCCCUUGAGGCGUGGCUUCCGGAGCUAACGCGUUAAGUCGACCGCCUGGGGAGUACGGCCGCAAGGUUAAAACUCAAAUGAAUUGACGGGGGCCCGCACAAGCGGUGGAGCAUGUGGUUUAAUUCGAUGCAACGCGAAGAACCUUACCUGGUCUUGACAUCCACGGAAGUUUUCAGAGAUGAGAAUGUGCCUUCGGGAACCGUGAGACAGGUGCUGCAUGGCUGUCGUCAGCUCGUGUUGUGAAAUGUUGGGUUAAGUCCCGCAACGAGCGCAACCCUUAUCCUUUGUUGCCAGCGGUCCGGCCGGGAACUCAAAGGAGACUGCCAGUGAUAAACUGGAGGAAGGUGGGGAUGACGUCAAGUCAUCAUGGCCCUUACGACCAGGGCUACACACGUGCUACAAUGGCGCAUACAAAGAGAAGCGACCUCGCGAGAGCAAGCGGACCUCAUAAAGUGCGUCGUAGUCCGGAUUGGAGUCUGCAACUCGACUCCAUGAAGUCGGAAUCGCUAGUAAUCGUGGAUCAGAAUGCCACGGUGAAUACGUUCCCGGGCCUUGUACACACCGCCCGUCACACCAUGGGAGUGGGUUGCAAAAGAAGUAGGUAGCUUAACCUUCGGGAGGGCGCUUACCACUUUGUGAUUCAUGACUGGGGUGAAGUCGUAACAAGGUAACCGUAGGGGAACCUGCGGUUG
Molecule: ribosomal RNA, 1521 nt
Filed under: metagenome
Description: bacterial SSU rRNA
Rfam family: Bacterial small subunit ribosomal RNA
Source: RNAcentral